CUUGGCACUGAACAUUGACCCUACAUGUGUAGGAUAGGUGGGAGGCUUUGAAGCACGUACGCCAGUAUGUGUGGAGCCGUCCUUGAAAUACCACCCUUGUAGUGUUGAUGUUCUAACGUCGACCCCUAAUCGGGGUUGCGGACAGUGCCUGGUGGGUAGUUUGACUGGGGCGGUCUCCUCCCAAAGAGUAACGGAGGAGCACGAAGGUGGGCUAAUCACGGUUGGACAUCGUGAGGUUAGUGCAAUGGCAUAAGCCCGCUUGACU
Molecule: ribosomal RNA, 265 nt
Filed under: Vibrio parahaemolyticus
Lineage: Bacteria; Pseudomonadati; Pseudomonadota; Gammaproteobacteria; Vibrionales; Vibrionaceae
Description: partial 23S ribosomal RNA
Rfam family: Bacterial large subunit ribosomal RNA
Source: RNAcentral